ACCUCAUCCAUCUGCUUCCAUCUGCUCUGGCAGAACAAAACCAGAAAACAUGCAAAUGUAGCUGAAAAUAGAGCAUCUAGGUUAUAGCUGUUCAAGUUGGGGGGUUUUUAAGUAAGUUCUAGAAUUUCUUUGUGUUUCACUUGCUGUUAGUGUGGGUUUUGGUUGUUUUUUUGGGUUUUUUGUUUGUUUGUUUGGGUUUUUGGUUUUGUUUGUUUGUUUGUUUUGGGGGAGUUUUUUGUUUGGUUGGUUUUUUUAUGUCUUGAGAUUUAAAUUGGUUUUCUGACUUGGUUGUAAAGAUUUGGAAGAAAAGUGUGGAUCCCCAAAGGAGGGAAGCAGCCUGUUUAAAAUGCAGCCACAGAAGAUUUUGUAAUCCCUGGAGACUCUGGAUUUAACUGCAUCAGGCAGAAAGUUUCUCCCCUGCAUCCCUGAAGCUCAGCAGCAAAGUUGUUCCAAGCACCUGGAAGGAACAAGAGCUUACAAUGCCUGUGGUACUCCCCCCUGGAAUCUGAAGGGAAGGAUCACACUGACAAUUGUGAUUUAAAAAAAAAAAAAAAUUAAAAAUAAGCAGAGAAAGCCCAAAAAGGUAAGAAAGUAAACACUCAGGCAUUUCAUUUUAUAUGAUAAAAUAUGAAGAUUUUAACAGUUCCAGGUUCAAAAAGCCCUUUGUAUCAUCCUGUUAAUAGGGUUGGGCUUUGGAUCUUCUCUAAAUGACUUAAAAUAAAAAAAAAGUGAGAGAGAGAAAUCAAAAGAAGCAGUUCUGGGCAUUUUUAGCAGGUUAAUUCCCUCUUUUGACAUUUGCUGUGUGCUCCCUGAUUUUCAGUCUGCUGUUUCAGAGGGCCACAAUGAAACACCAGCCUUGGUGAAGAAACAGGAGAUUGGUGUGGUCACAGCUCUGUGACUCAAAAAAUGGCUGGGAAAAACAAAGCACUUCCAACAAAACAUUGAAAGAAAUCAAAUAAUUGUUCAGACACCUUUCUUUU
Molecule: long non-coding RNA, 980 nt
Organism: Serinus canaria (Common canary)
Lineage: Eukaryota; Metazoa; Chordata; Aves; Passeriformes; Fringillidae
Exons: 3
Source: RefSeq, a predicted model, not a curated record